This 275-nucleotide unclassified non-coding RNA is filed under the name Glomus sp. RNAcentral's name for it is "partial contains 5.8S ribosomal RNA and internal transcribed spacer 2". The stretch from base 1 to 71 matches the Rfam family "5.8S ribosomal RNA", at positions 84 to 154 of the family's 154-position model. Lineage: Eukaryota; Fungi; Glomeromycota; Glomeromycetes; Glomerales; Glomeraceae. The record is from RNAcentral.
GUGAAUCAUCGAAUCUUUGAACGCACAUUGCACUCUCGGGUAUUCCGGAGAGUAUGCCUGUUUGAGGGUCAGUUUGAAUAAAGAUCGGUGUGGUUGCUUCCUUUCGUGAUGACGCACCGGGGUUGGGUCGUCUGGCCUUCGGUUAAGUGACCUAAAAUUUUGCAUGAUUUUCUUCGAACGUAUUUAAAUGAUUUUACGUACGUUUGCGAUAUCUACUACUAGGUGUGGUCAUCCUCAUGAUUCGAGCCUAUAAUUUUUCAUCAAGAUGACCUCAA